Molecule: long non-coding RNA, 30178 nt
Filed under: Prunus persica (peach)
Lineage: Eukaryota; Viridiplantae; Streptophyta; Magnoliopsida; Rosales; Rosaceae
Description: long non-coding RNA (PPER_LNC005885)
Rfam family: MIR6297 microRNA precursor family (bases 22386-22493)
Source: RNAcentral
AAAAAAAAAUAUUACAACCAUUGUUUAUCUGAAUAUAUAAAGUAUUCCCACUUAUGUUGUUACUCAAUACUAGUUAUUCGUAGGACACCAAUAUUCAAACCAAAAGAAAAAAAUUAGCCCUGUUUCAUAUCCUACUAAAAAAAACUAAAUUCAAACACUAUGAUUCUUUUUAAAAAUAUGAGUUUUCAAAUAGUGAUUUUAAGAUCUAAAAUCUUGUUUGGUAUUGAACUCCAAACUAUUUUUUAGAUCUAAAAAAAUUGAAAUUAAAAUCAGAAAAUUAAGAACCCUAGAUUGCCAAAUUGAAAUUAACAAAGAAAAGUUGAGAGAGGGAAAGAGACGGGAGAGUGAGGAGAGAUAGGGACGAGAGAGGAAGAAGAGAAAAAGAGACGGGAGAGGGCGGAGACAGAGAGAGAGAGAGAGAAAAAUAUAAAACCUUAUUUUUUUUGUUUUUAAUAAUGGGGGUGUUUUUGAGUUUUUCUCAGGUUUGAGUUUUUAAAAAUGGUCUUACCAAACGGAUUUUUGUGGCUUUGAACUUAAAAUAUGUUCUUGAGUUUAUAAAAUUGGAUCCAAGUAGGAUACCAAACAAGUCCUAAAGUACCUGAUAUUUUUCUCUGUACAAUUUUACAGCAGCUGCAUGAGCAAGGAGUAGGUUGUGUGUCACCAAAUAUGGUUCAGUACUCGAAUUUCCACCAAGGCAGGUUGGGUCAUACCAAGAAGAGCAUCGUCCUGGUGCGUGGAUCCCGAUUGUAUAACCAUCACUACUACAAAAAGUGAAAAAGACGACCAGAAAACAACGACGGUCUCAGUGAAAACCGUCGUGGUUUUUAAAACGACGACGGUUCUCAAAACACCGUCGUUUAAUACCACCUUAGACAACUAACAAGGGAGAUUCAAAUGGCUGUUCAAAAACAACGACGUACUUAAUUAAACAACCGACGUCUAUUUGAAACAGAUUUCCGCAGUGUAAAAUCAAAGCGAACAAAGAACGGCAGAAGUUAUGAAUCGACCGACGUAGAAAGUAAAGACGACGAUUUCAAUAAAAGCCGCCGUUUUUACUUAUAAAAUAACACGACGAGGUUUUCGUAUAAGACGCUGUCUAAUUACAAACAAAUCCACGGCUGUAAAAUACAAAAUAUCGCCGUAUUAAAUUAAUUUACAACGACGACAAAUAUAAAUAUAUCGACGUCAUUAUUGUAUAGUUCUACGACGUUCUCUUUAAAUCGUACUAUAAAAUCUAACGUCGUAUUUAUGCAUUUUAUACGUCGUACCUUUAAUUUAAACCGUCGUCUUAAUAAGAAUUUUUGUUAACAAUUUUUUUCUUUGAUUUUCUUAUCCUACGUCGGUAGAUAUACUUAAUGACAAGAAUUGAAAUACCCACGACGGUUUAUAUAAAAAACCGCCGACAUAAUCAGAUUUUUCUGAGAUCCCAAGGGUUACGAAAUCUUACCAGAUGGAACUCUGUUCCACAUCAUAAUCUUAACAGAUGACACAGAUUUGAAAUCAGAGAGACAAUUUUUUGGAAGUUGAUGAUGUGUGUGCGUUUGUUUAUCUAAAAAUAUUAUACCUAACGUCGUUGCAAAUUUGCAAUCAGAGAAACAAUUUCCAACGACGGUUGAGUAGUUGAAGUGCUUCCCCACAGCCACUUUUUUAUGGUCNNNNNNNNNNNNNNNNNNNNNNNNNNNNNNNNNNNNNNNNNNNNNNNNNNNNNNNNNNNNNNNNNNNNNNNNNNNNNNNNNNNNNNNNNNNNNNNNNNNNNNNNNNNNNNNNNNNNNNNNNNNNNNNNNNNNNNNNNNNNNNNNNNNNNNNNNNNNNNNNNNNNNNNNNNNNNNNNNNNNNNNNNNNNNNNNNNNNNNNNNNNNNNNNNNNNNNNNNNNNNNNNNNNNNNNNNNNNNNNNNNNNNNNNNNNNNNNNNNNNNNNNNNNNNNNNNNNNNNNNNNNNNNNNNNNNNNNNNNNNNNNNNNNNNNNNNNNNNNNNNNNNNNNNNNNNNNNNNNNNNNNNNNNNNNNNNNNNNNNNNNNNNNNNNNNNNNNNNNNNNNNNNNNNNNNNNNNNNNNCGCCAUAUUAUUUUUUUGAAAUGGUUUUAUAUGUAAGCAACUUUUCGUCUACUUGACUUACACAUUUGUUGUUUUUAUAUUCUUAUUUUAUUUAAAUCUGUCAUCCAAAAAAGAAACUUUACAUAUUGCAGAAUAUUAAUUUCCUUCGUUUUAAAUUUCCUCCGGAAAAAAAACUCUAUUUAUAACGCACUGUAAUUGAAAAAUAAACUGAAAGGUCACGGGAAAAAAAAUUCUAUUCAUAAUUUAAAAAUUAAAAUCCACGUCGGUUAUAUUAAACCUAACGACGUUAAAUGAAAUGAUUCCACGUCGAAUGAAAAAUAUUGCGUCGUUUUAGUUAAAAACGACGUAGUUAAAUGUAACCGCCGUAUUAUUUUUUUGAAAUGGUUUUAUAUGUAAGCAACUUUUCGACUUACACAUGCACUGUUUCCAAACCCGAUUAAAAAUUUCAAUCUCCCAGAGAAACCUUUUCGUCUUUUUUCCUUGUCAGAGCAUUGUCAGAGUUUCUCAUCGUCUUCCUCUCGUCUUCUUCGUCGUCUCUGAACUUAAACAUCGAUCAUCUUCCUCUUGCUUUCAUUGCACGCAAAAGGUAAGCUUUCAUUUUCACUAUUUUGGUUACUGUUUUGCAUGCUCAUACGUUUUUUGUUUGAAAAAUCUUUUUACCUUUUUUCUGGCCAAAAUCAUUUUACUUCUUUCCAAGUUUGAUAAAAUAUACAGACAAAGAGGGAAAGUUUCCAACUUUGAAGACAACUACCUCAACUAAAUAAGACGACGGUAGACCACGACGGUUCGUCAGUUGUUCUAGCGUCGUCUGAAAAUUGACAAAGUUGUUUUUAAUAUAAUAGUCUUUUUUUAUAUGCUUGUUUAAUUGCAGGUUUGAUUUCUCUGAACAAUGGUUUUUGUUUUUCCCUUAUUUGAUAAAAUAUAAAGAAAAAGAAACUAAGGUUGGUAUCUAAUAUAGACGAAAAAUAUCUUAUUGUUUUACGUCGUGUGAAUGUUAAUACCACGACGGUGUAUUACUAUUGACGUCGUAUGAACAUAAAUACCACGACGUUAUAUAAAUAAUAGUUUUACCACGACGGUGUAUUACUAUUGACGUCGUGUGAACAUAUUUACCACGACGUUAUAUAAAUAAUGGUUUUAAACAUUUAUUACGUCUGAGAUUAUUUCAUUGCGUCGUCUAAAAUCAUAUCAUACGUCGUAUUUUUUUAAUACCGUCGUUUGUGUUCUUAAUGUUUUCCUGAAAUAUUUUCACUUGCAGUUUUGUCUGUUAAAAUGGUUUCUCAUCAACAAACUAAGGAUUCUGGCUCCAAGAAGCUUGGAGUGGUAGCUCCCCAAGACAAGUCUUCGAAGGAGAUGAAGUCUUCGAAGAAGAUGAAGUUUGCUUCAUCAUCUGCUGAGACAGAACCAACCAGCCAGACAACAAUCUCUGAUGAUUCAAAGACUGGUCGAGGUAUGAGCACAAUGCCUCGUGUUGUGAAGAGAAAGCUUCAGAAACUGAGGCCAAUUGUUGAGUACAAUAAAAGGGGGAAAGGUGUUGGCCAAGCACAUAUUGAGAUGCAGUCGUAUAUUGGUGUCUUGGCACGCUCCAGGAUCCCACUUGUGGACAAGAAAUGGUCCCAAAUCCCAAAGGAUAUAAAGGAGCAGAUUUGGGAAGCAGUUGACAUGGCUUUUGUCGUAGGCCAAGGGGGCAAGACCUCUGUUUUAUCUUCUGCUGCCAAAAAAUGGAAGGAUUUCAAGUCUACACUAACGAGGCAUUAUAUCCUUCCAUACACCAAUGACAGGGAGAAAUUAAGCCAACCCCCUGAAACAUAUAAAUUUAUAGAGAAAGCACAAUGGGAUGCCUUUGUAGCUUCAAGGCUAUCCAAAGAUUUUCAGUCUGUGCAUUCUCAACAUUCACAGAUUAGGGAGAAACUCGAGUACAAUCAUCGAUUGUCUCGAAAAGGAUAUGCUGGAUUGGAGGAUCAAUUGGAGGAAACCAUGCCUGGGGUAGAAAUUGAUCGAUCUACCUUAUGGAAGAGAGCUAGACAGGACAAACAUGGUAACAUCCCUGAUCCAAAGGUGGCAGAGAAGGCAAAAUUAAUUGUAAGCCUACUCACUCUGUUUUAAAUUUUUAUUAAACUGUGAAUUAUUCUUAUUACGUCGUAUGUUAUAUUUUUCGUCGUGUGAAUGAUAUUACCACGUCGAAACGUUUUUAAAAACGUCGUUAACGGUCUAAAUAGGAAUCACUACUCUGUUUUCUGUUAUUAUAGCAUACGACGUCGGUGGUUCAUUCUCGCGUCGUGUGAAUGAUAUUACCACGUCGAAACUUUUGUAAAAACGUCGUUAACGGUCUAAAUAGGAAUCACUACUCUGUUUUCUUUAAUUAUAGCAUAAGACGUCGGUUGUUUAUUCAUUUCGUCGUUUUAAAUAAAUAACCACGUCGGUAUAACUACCGUCGUGAUAAGUUAUAAUAACGUCGUUUUAUAUGUUAUUGCGUCGUGUGAAAUUAUAUAAUACGUCGUUUGUACAUAAAUAACCGUCGUGUGUUUUUUUGUUUAUCUUUGUUUUAGGAUGAAUUGCAGAAACAAGUCUCGGAAGGCAAAGUCAGAGUAGAUGGCAGCAAUGAUGUGCUGACCAUGGCUUUGGGCCCCGAGCAUCCAGGCAGGGUGAGGGGAGUUGGUGCUGGUGUUUCCCCAAGGCAAUAUUUCAAUUUGCCCAAACCACAGAGGGUGAGCUUUGACGACCGUUUGAAGGAGAGUUUAAGAGUUCUCCUUCAAGAAGAGACUAAAAAGAUGGAGGCUAAGGCAAGGGAAGAGGCCUUAAGGAUGGAGGCUAGGACAAAACAAUUGGUAGAGGCUGAGAGGGAGCAUUUCCUGAGUCAGCUUUCCCAAUUAAUUCCCAAUUUUGAUCCAAGCAUGCUUAAACCAAGAAUUAGCCAAAGCCCCAAAAAUCCAAUGUCUGACAAAGCUAGCUGCUCUGGAGGUGAUGUGAGAUCCCUACAUUUGGAGGAUGAUACUGCCAAAAUGGGGAAACAUCAGCCAGAUGAAGAGAAGGAAGAAGAAAAAAGAGAUGAAGAGAAGGAAGAAGAAAAGGAGAAAGAAGAUGAAGAAAAGCAUGACGACAAGGUAUGUUCACAUAACUUUGCCUUUUUUAUUUGUUUUUCAAAAUUUCAGACGUCGAUAUUUUUAUUUAAUCCGUCGUUUGUUUAAAACUUAGACGGCGGAAUUUUUUUAAGACGUAAUAAAAUAUUUAAACGACGGUUUUUUCACCGUCGUUUAAAUGGUUUCAAACGACGCUUUAUUCAUAAAACCGUCGUCUUUAUUAAAUUACCAUGACAAUUUUUUCACCGUCGUUUAAAUACUUUUAAAACGACGUUUUAUUCCUUAAACCGUCGUCUUUAUUGAAUUACCACGUCAUUUUUUUUAUUUCUUUAAACAGGUUAUUGAAGUUGGUGCUUAUUCAAAAAUGGAGGCGCCAUCUUCUUUAAAAACCCUUUGUCGUUUUGUGGAAACGACACUCCUGCCUGAGGAUAAGACAGUCCAAUUUACAAUUGAUAAGGAGGUGUUUGGUGGUGAGCGCGAUACCUUCCUCCUGCCUGAAGAUAUUACACAAUUUGCAGGCAUGGAAGAAAUUGGAGCUACUGUAUUGGCUGUAUAUAUGAGGUUUGUACUUCUAAAAUAAUAACUCGUUGGUUUAUAUAUUGCGUCGUCUUAACUAACUAACCACGUCGUCUUAACUAACAACCGUCGUGAUAAAUAUAUUAUAACGUCCUCAUCUAUUUCAGUACGUCGUUUGAAAUAUUAUAAUACGUCGUUUUUUUUAUACAUAACCGUCGUGUUUUGUGUGCUGACUUGUUUAUAUUAUUUUAUUUAUUUAGGUACUUACACGAUGUUUUGAAAAAAGCCAAUAUGUGCAGUAUGGUUGGCUUUAUCGACCCUGCUACAGUUAGUGCCAACUCUGGCACAAUAACUGAAAGAUCACGACUCGUAGCAGCUCGACUUCAGAAGACAGACGGUGAACAGAUUUUCAUGAUGCCUUACAAUCCAGGGUUAGUCUCCUUAGGAUUUUGUUUUUAUGAUUUUCAAUAAAUGACAGCUUAUAAACUAACCACGUCGGUGUUUUAUUUUAUUUAGUCGUUUGAAACUACUAACCACGUCGGUAUUUAUUUAUCGUCGUGAUAAAUAUAUAAUGUCGUCGUUAGCUACUUUACUUCGUCGUGUGAAAUACUAUAAUACGUCGUUUUUGUAAAUAACCGUCGUUUUUAUAUUAAUUUUGUGCAGCCGUCAUUGGAUUUUGCUGAUUGUAAGAGCAAAGAGAGAAACCGUCUAUUUUCUGGAUCCUCUGCCAGGAAAUCGUGUGGUCGAUGAAGAGGCCAAAAACAUCGUGAACAGUGCUUUAAAAAUAUAUAAUACCCACAUAGCCCGAGCAGGACGUAAAAAUGUAAUUUGGAAAACUCUCUCAGGCACACCAAAGCAACCCAGCAAUGUCGAAUGCGGGUAUUAUGUAAUGCGCUUCAUGAGGGACAUCAUCAUGGAUCCUUCCUUGGGGUUUGAGAAUAAGGUAAGAAGAAAUUACCUUCAUACAUUUCACGUCGUUUUUUGUAUUAUCAACGACGGUCGUGUAAAAUUAACGUCGUUGAAUGGAUAUACUACGUCGGUUAUGAAAAAUAUCGUCGUCUGUGAUUGAAUUUCUUUUUAUUUAUAAACCCUAAUAGUCAUUGUUUAUGCAGUAUGCCAAGGGAAACCAGGAAGCUUCAUACCCCCAAGAAGCCAUUGAUGAAGUCCGGAAUGAAUGGGCAGAGUUUGUUUUCCAAAUUAUUAAACAGGGCAAUUAUUGAACACUUGAUAUUUAUGUAUAAUGUACCAAUUUUCUCUAUAAUAUGUAAUGUAAAAAUUUGUUGAGGUUUUCUUAAAUUAAAAAAAAAACAAACAUACAAAUUGCUUAACCGACGUGUAAUACUUUUCCAACGACCUAAUAAAGUCACAAACCGUCGUAUUUUGUUGUUUCGUGUUUUAAACAAUUACGACGUAAAAAUAUAGUUAGACGACGUUCUUUGAACAAUUGAGUCGUUAAUGGUUUACAAUAUCUUCAAUUUCUUAAGGGUUCAGGGUAUAAUCGACGACGUUUAUGUAACGACUGCGGUUAAGUCGUAAAAUAUAUAUUUUACGUCGUAUAGUUAAAUAGCCGCCAUGGUUUCUCAUUUUAACGACGUCAUUUUAACGACUUAGUAGUCUAUUACAAUUUACAACGUCUACAAUUUAUUUAACACCGACGUGGUUUGUUGUAUGGUAAGAAUAUUUUAUUAUUUUUAUAUCAAAAUAUUCAAAAUAAAUAUAAAAUAAAUCAGAAAAUUGAAAAGUCAACUCAUUGAUAUAUUUUCUUCCACAUAAACCUUGAAAAAAUUCAUUUUGAAUAACAAAAAUUUAAAAUGACCAUCCAAAACAAAAUUGUUUUGAUGAGUCAUAAAAUCACUUCUAGUUUAAUGGUUUAGGGUUUAGAGUCUAGGGUUUAGAGAUUAGUGUUGUUAUUUAUUGGGGUUUAUUUUUAAAGUAUAAUUUUUGGGUAGUCUAUGUUAUAUGUUAGGCUUUAAAACCAUAAAACCUUUUAUAAACUUAAUUUUUUAAAUUGUAUAAUUUAAUUUUAUGGGUUUAGGGUAUUAAUUUUUAACGACGGUGGUUGGGUCGUGGAAUACAUAUUUUACGUCGUACAGUAAAACAUACGACAUGGUUUACGCUUUAAACGACGUUAUUUUAAUAUGUAAGUCGGUUUAUAUAAUUUACAACGUCUUUAAUUUCUUAACACCGACGUGGUUUUUCAGUCGUCGUUAUAUAAAAAAUUCAAAAUAAAUUUAAAAUUAAUCCGAAAAAUGAACGGCCUUACGUUCUUAAUCCGAAAAAUGAAGUUUCCGUCGUGGAAUAUUAAAUUUACGUCGGUACUUGUAGAACUUUCGCCUUGGUUUUUCUUUCGACGUUUUAUAACGCGCGCGCUCUAAAAAUUUUCGCGCGACCUAAAUUUUUUUAGAUUUGGCUCUUAGUCUUAUACUUUGAUCCCUGAAACCUAAAAUUUCAGAUUUCACGCGACAUAACAUUUCGCUCUCUCACUUCUGCUCUAAUUAAAAGUUGCACUCUCCAGGCUCGUCGAAUCUGUGAGCUCGUCCAACCUGUAAGUACAAACCCUAUCUUCCCCUUGUAAAUUCAUUGAAUGAUAUUAGGUUGUUUUGUUAAAGGGUUUUAGGUAUAUGCUUUGCGAUCUGUUAAUAAUGUGCUUAUAGGUAUGGGUUCAUGGAUUUUCUGUUUAAUGGGUUCAUGACAAGAUCAAAUAAAGGUGUACUUUUGCUGGAAAUCAACACAAAAAGUCUUUUAAUCACCCUAUGUUAUGUUGAAUUGGGAAUGGAUUUAUUGUUUUCAUGCUUGGUUUCAUGUAUCCGCUCUGGAGAAGUGCAAGUCAUAUAUAUGUUGUGUUCUUAAUGGGUUUUGUGUUCUUGAAAAUAAACUGAGACACGACGAAUUUUAAGGCGUACGACGACGAUUACACGACGGUGUUUUUAAACUACCGUCGUUGUAUUACUUAUACACGACGGUUUUUUCAUAAACCGUCGUUUGUAUUACGUAUAAUAGACGACGUCUGUUGAAAAUCCGUCGUCUAUAUAUGCCAAAUACGUCUGUUUUUGAUUAAAACCCGUCGUCUCUGUUGUUUAUUACUUGCGAUUAGAUCAUUGUAUAAUCUGCUAUAGUGAUGGUCAUUGCCUGUAUUUUCACUUUAUUAUAGAUAAUAGGUUAUAGUGUCGGAGAUGGAUAAGUCAUGGAUGCACUCGGAUAGAAGAUCGAAGGCAUAUGAGUUUGGGGUGGAAGCAUUUUUGAACUUUGCUGUAGAAAAUCUUCUAACUACAACACAUAUCCGUUGUCCAUGUGUUAAAUGUGUUAAUUUGAAGUUGUUUGGGGUUGGAAUUAUAAGGGAUCACUUAUACUUUAAUGGAAUUGACCAAAGCUAUAAGAAUUGGACAUUUCACGGAGAACCUUGGGAAGCAACUACUAAUGCUAGCAGAAAUGUUGAAGAAGAUGAUGGCCAUAGUAGGUACAGUUUUGUGUCUGAAGAAAUUGAUAUGGAUGAUAAUGAUUUUGGUGAUUUUGGUUCGGAUCCGUAUGAGUUUGCCAAUGUGAUUGGGGAUGGAGAUCAACCAGUGUACCCUGGUUGUAGAAAGUACACGAAGUUAUCGGCAUUAGUGAAGUUGUAUAAUUUGAAGGCAAAACAUGGGAUGAGUGAUGUCUGUUUUACAGAAUUAUUGAUACUUCAAGGCGAUUUGCUUCCAGAAGGAAAUACAAUACCAACCUCCAUGUAUGAGGCUAAAAAGACUUUGUGUGCAUUGGGGCUGAGUUAUGAGAAAAUGCACGCAUGCCCCAAUGAUUGCAUCUUGUAUAGGAAGGAGUAUGAGGAUUCAACUAAUUGUCCUACUUGUGGUAUCUCAAGGUGGAAGGAAGGCAAAGAUGCAAUCUUGAAAGAGGGUGUGCCAGCGAAGGUGGUGUGGUAUUUUCCCCCAAUUCCAAGGUUUAAAAGGAUGUUUCAAUCACAUGAGACAGCUAAGAGUUUGACUUGGUGGCAUGUUGCUAGAAAAUCAAUUGACGGUCAGAUGUCUCAUCCGGCGGAUUCCCCGUCUUGGAAACUUCUUGAUGAUAAAUGGCCUGAGUUUGGUAAUGAGCCGAGAAACUUGAGAUUGGCUCUUUCAUCUGAUGGAUUCAAUCCCCACAGUUCUCUAAGUAGCAGAUAUAGUUGUUGGCCGGUUAUCUUAGUUACAUAUAAUCUCCCUCCAUGGCUGUGCAUGAAACGAAAGUUCAUGAUGUUAACCUUAUUGAUUUCCGGUCCUAAACAACCCGGAAAUGAUAUAGACGUCUACUUGGAGCCUUUGAUUAAUGAUUUAAAAUCCUUGUGGGUUGGGAUUAGAGGAGUGUAUGAUGCACAUAAUGGAGAAUACUUUACACUCAGAGCUGCAUUAAUGUGGACAAUUAAUGAUUUCCCCGCCUAUGGAAACUUAUCUGGUUGUGUUGUUAAAGGAUAUAAAGCUUGUCCAAUAUGCGGCGAUGAUACACCUAGUCACAGGUUGAAAAAUGGCCACAAAAUUUGUUACAUUGGGCAUAGAAAAUGGUUACCAAUCAAUCAUCCAUAUAGGAGGCAACGUGCAGCUUUUAAUGGGAAACCUGAAUAUGGCAUACCUCCAGAGCCAUUAACCGGAGAAGAAGUGCUGCAUAUGGUUGAAAAUGGUGACAGAGUUUGUUGGAAGAAGAAAUCAAUAUUCUUUGAUCUCGAGUAUUGGAAAUACCUUCCUGUGAGGCAUGCCCUAGAUGUUAUGCACAUUAAGAAGAAUGUUUGCGAUAGUAUCAUUGGUACAUUGCUGGAGAUCCCUGGAAAAAAUAAAGAUGGGAUUGCUGCUCGAUUAGAUUUAUUGAACAUGGGGGUCAAAACUGAUUUGCAACCCGAGUAUGGAGAAAGACGUACUCGUUUGCCUCCUGGGCCUUGGAAUUUGUCAAGAGCAGAGAAGAGAGAGGUUUGCAAUUCUUUCUAUGGUAUGAAGGUCCCUGAAGGUUAUUCUUCAAAUAUUAAAAAUCUUGUAUCUGUACAAGAUUCAAGACUUCUUGGCCUUAAAUCACAUGAUUGUCAUACCUUAAUGCAACAAUUGCUCCCUGUGGCAAUUCGUUCUGUUUUGGAGAAGCCUGCAAGGUAUGCAAUAACUCGUUUGUGCUUCUUCUUCAAUGCUAUAUGUGCAAAGACUGUUGAUGUUUCCAAGCUAGAUAAGUUGGAAGAAGAUGUAGUAGUUACUCUGUGUUUGCUUGAGAAGUACUUUCCCCCUUCAUUCUUUGAUAUCAUGGUUCAUCUAGUAGUACAUCUUGUCAGAGAAGUUCGUCUAUGUGGGCCAGUAUAUUUUAGGUGGAUGUAUCCGUUUGAAAGAUAUAUGAAAGUGCUGAAGGGGUAUGUUCAGAAUCGUACUCGUCCCGAAGGUUGCAUUGCUGAGCGGUAUAUAGCUGAAGAAGCGGUAGAGUUUUGUACUCAGCAUUUAUCUGAUGUUAGUACAGUUGGAGUGCCUUCAAGCCAAAAGAUGGGAGUUUCAAAGCCAUUAUCAGGUUGCACAGUGAGCGUAGUUGAUCAGGACCUGUUGAAUCAAGCACAUCUAUAUGUCUUGGAGAAUACGGAGGAAGUCCUACCUUAUAUCGAGUACGUAUGAGUUUUAUUCUUUAAGUUUCCAUUUAAAAUUAUUUCUUAUGUUUAUCUUAUAUAUUUGGGACCGUAAUGCUUGAAUUUUUCGUGUCAUGUAGGCAACAUAUGAUCCACAUCAAGACUGCUUAUCCAAAAUUUAGAAAGAGAACAAAGUGGCUGCAGGAUAAGCACAAUAGCACUUUCAUUCAAUGGCUACGCUUCAAGGUAUAUGUUGUUGAAUAACGUAUUUCUCUUUUAAUUUUCUUCUUAUUUAUAUGUUAGAUUGAAUUAAGAUAUGAUUAAUUUGCAGGUUCAAAGUGAACUUGAGGAAGACAAUCAUGGCGUAUCAGAAAAUUUAAGGUGGCUAGCAGCUGGUCCAAACAUGUCAGUGCCAUUAUAUAGGAGCUAUCUUAUUAAAGGUAUUAAAUUCAAUAUCAAGGCACAAGAUGAUGUGCGGACAACUCAAAAUAGUGGAGUUUAUUUACUUGCACAUACCAUGCAAGUUGCUAGUGCCAAGGAUAAAAACCCAAUUCUCUCAAAUAUGGGUUUCUAUAGUGUCAUUCAAGAAAUUUGGGACCUUGACUACCAAAAGUUUACAAUCCCAGUCUUUAGGUGUGAUUGGAUAGAUAGUUCUGGUCUUGUAGUCGACGAACUUGGAUUUACCCUUGUAGAUUUGAGUAAAAUUGGACAUAGGAAUGACCAAUUUGUUUUGGCUUCUCAAGUCAAACAAAUAUUUUUUGUUGACGACCCGAUGCAUCGUGGUUGGUCGGUAGUGUUAUCAAUGCCUAGUAGAGAAUAUAAUGAUGUUAUUGGUGAUGAAGUAUUAGGUGAUGUGAUAAUUGAGUGUGAGCCAUUUACUAGAGGGAUGCCAAAUGUUGACACAUUUGAUGAACUGAUAGGUGAGUUAGGCGGUCAAAAUAUUCGAGAUGGGUGUGAAGAUAUAUGGAUUGAAUGAUGCUUAUGUAAUUGGCAGUGUAUGACAUUAAUUUUGUAAUAUAUUGUAAUGUGAUUUCUUCACUUUCUACGUUCAAAUAAAACACGACGUUAUUGUGAAUCAGUUAUUCAGCAUAUUUACCGACGUCUUAAAGCAACGUAACAAUGAAGAACCACGACGCUAUUGUGAAGCAAUUAUUCAGGAUAUCACGUCGGUGAAGGAUAAAGAACCGCCAUGUAAUUCAAAAUAACACGACUCCAAUCCCAUAAUACCGACGUCUAAAAAACGAGAUAUAUAAUCUGAACGUUAAAAAAUACGACGUCAUCAUACAUUUUCCACGUCGCAAGUUCUUUUAUAAACGAAGAGGAACGAAAUUAAUUCCGACGGAAAUUCAUUAUAACCGCCGUCUAAUAACAAUUAAACGACGUUAUUUGUAAUACGGCUCCCAUCAUAAUCUACGCCGUCUAUAUGUUCUGUAAUACGGCUCUCAUUUAUUUGGAACCGACGUUGUUUAGACGUUCAACGUCGUCUAUAUUAUUAAGUGCGUCGUGAGUAAUGAAUACAUAUAAAUACAACGUCGACUAUAUAAAUGUAUACGUCGUAAAUAAUGACACUGACAACUAUUUCCACGUCAUCUUUUUUAGAAAAAUCGAAGUGGAAAAUUUAUUUCACGACGGUUUUUUGUAAAUAAGAGACGUUGUAGAACUUUAGCAGACUAAACACGUCUGUUUUUAUUGUUUUCCGACGUUGUUGUAUUUAACAACGUCUAAUAUUUAUGGUCGUUGUUUGUUUCUGAAAAUAGGACGUAUAAAUUUUUUAAUACGACUCUCAUAUAUUUGUAACUGACGUUGUUUAGUUUUUCAACGUCUACUAUAGAAACACAUACGUCGUAAAUAAUGACACUGACAACUAUUUCCACGUCAUCUUUUAUCGAAAAAUCGAAGUGGAAAAUUAAUUGUACGACGGUUGUGUUUAUAUGUGCGACGUAGUAGGUAUCAAUAACGUCGUCUUCUAAUGUAUUUAAAGACGUCAUAUUUUUUAUUGUCGUGAAAAUUAUAUUUAACGUCGGCGUAUUUUUAUUGUCGUCAUUGUAUGUCUAUCUUGCGGCCUUGUUCUCUUAAUAUGUGUCAUAUUUUCCCUUUUUAACGACGGUCUUUUUAGAGAAUUGGUCGUCUAUUAUCAUCCUCGAUUGCUUUUUUUAGAUCUUUUUGCAGUACAAAGACGUCGUUUUGUAUUUUUUGAUGACGUUGUAUUGUUUAACAACGACGGUUAUUUAGCGUCGUGGUUUAUGAGGGAAAAGAUGACGGUGGAUUCCACGACCAUUGAAAAACCAAAUACACGACGGUGAUUUACCGUCGUCUUUUUGCUUUUUUGUAGUAGUGCAUGGUUACUAAUGGUAUAUGGCUCAUUAAGUGUGGUCCAAUACUUUACUCGAUCACCAAAUUCCUUAUAACAAAGUUCUGCGUAUGCUUUAAAAUCAUCACUGUACACAUUUAAAAAUAAAAUUUGUUAUAUAUAUAUUAGUAUUUAUAUAAUUAAGUUAUCAAUAUUAUACAAAGGAUAACUUUUGUUCACUUACACAAUACGAGGGCUUAACACACCACCAUAUUCUUCAUCCAAGGCUUGGGGAACAUCCCAGUGGAGGAGUGUCACUAGUGGUUCUAUACCUAUAUAUAGCAUGACCAGUAAACGAAAAAUAAAAUUUCGAUUAAAUACGUGCAUGUAUUUAUUAUAUAUUAGGAGGAUUUAUGAGAUUGAUAGCUGUAUCACCAUUCCGUAUGAGUUCAUUGGUGAGAUUAUUGUAGUAUUCAAUUCCUUUCUUGUUAAUUCCACCACUUAGUGUUCCAUCUAAUAAUUAAAACAAAACAAAGAAAAUAUGAGUCAAAACCUACUGAGAAAUAGAAAUUAAAUUGAAUAAAAGAUGUUAAAUUAUAAAGUGAUUGGUGGCAAUAAAAUAUGUGGAUGCGGAUGAACAACUUACUAGGUAACAAUCUAGACCAUGAGAUAGAGAACCUAUAAGCAUCCAACCCCAUAUCCUUCAUAAUUGCAACAUCUUCCUGUAAUGACACAAAAAAUAUACAUAAUUAUAAGAAAGAAGAUCAAAAUUAAGGAUCUCAUCUUCAGUGUCGUGCGUUCAAAUCAAAUUUAGAAGGUCUAUAUAAUAAAAUGAUGUUAUUUUGAAACCUUGUAUCGGUGAUAUUGAUCAAUUGCAACAUCUCCAUUACUGCCAUCGGUGAUUUUUUCUGCAAUUAACCAAAUGUAAUGUUAUUUAGAAAUAAACACACAAAUUAAUUUAACUAUCUAGAUAUUUAAAUAGGAGAAUGCUAGCCUUCACUCUAACCUUGUUUUUGGAACUUCUCACUUCUUUUCAUGCGAUGUAUUAUUCCUCUCGUAUUUUAAACAAUGUCUUUAAUAUAGUAAAAGCUUCAAUUUUAUUUUCCAUGAUUACCCUUAUUAAAUGGCAUAGACUUAUUCAAAUUUUUACAACUUUCUAACGAUCUUCUCUGGUCUAGUGGAGUUGUCUCCUCUUUGUUGGGUAAGGUCUUAGUUUCAACUCAAAAAAAAAAAAAAAAAAAAAAAGAAUUGUUAACUAAUUGAUUGUUUGAUUGAACAGACCUGGAUGGUUGUGGGUGAAGGCAUCCCAUACGCUUGGUCCUCUACCAUCUAUGUUUGCAGCACCUUCUAACUGAAAUGUACAUACAUAUAUAAGUUAUAUAACACGAUACACAUAGUGAAGAUGCCAAUAUUCAUGCUAGAUGAUCUGACUUUGAAAUCAAAUUAAACCUAUGUAACUAUAUGAAACACAAAAUUAAAACAAAUUAAAGAGUAACAUUAAUUAAGCCCUCAAAAGGCACUGACUUGGUAAGCUGAUGUAGCUGUGCCAAAUGUGAACCCUGGAACAAGAAUAUCGAAAUUGGUCCUGUUGAGAGUUGCACAAACAACGGGUGGAUCUGUCCUGGCAGCAUUGGUAUUUGGCAAUGCAAAGCCAAGGAGAAGCAGCAGCACACACAUGAGCAAAGAGCGGAAUUGCAAUUGCAUAACUGAGUGGAGGGUUUUUGGUGAUCGAGCUAGGUUGGCUCUUCCUGCUAUAUUGCAUAGGCUUUAUAUAGAGGGAGUACGUAACUUCUACAAGUGAAAAUAAUAAAUAAAUAAAGGUGUUUAUUUCCUUGUCCUUUCUAUUUUGUAAAGCUAAAGUAUGGGGAUAGACAGAGAAAAUUUUGGUCCUUCCGGCUUUAAAGCAUAUUGUGAGAAAUGUUCACUACAAGAAAAAUGUUGUACAACAACAUGUCAUUAACAACGUGCAUAGGUUGUGCGUUGUGGAGGGUGGGCUUUCACAACGUGCUGCAAUAGUGUGUUGUAGUACAUUGAGUUUAACAACGUGUAUUUACGGCACGUUGUUGCAAUGAAAUUUAGGGAUAUUUUUGACAACGCACUUUGGCGUGUUGUUGUAUAUUUAGUUCAACAACACGCAUCGCAUGUUGUCAAAACUAUAUCACUUUCCUAUAAUAAUUAAAAAAAGGCCAAAAAUUGAUUUUAAAAAAAGAGCCAAAUUUUUUGCGGGAAAACUCCCUCUUAUUCGACUAAAAAAAAGAAACUCCCUCUCUCUCAAAAUCUGAAAUGUUCUAAAUAUUUGACAAACCUCUACAUCUUCUAAAAACUCUCUCUCCAUCGUCACAACCCAAAAUUCCAUCAAAGACCCACGAAAUCUAAACUCAAACCAUCCCUCAAGCCUCCAUGGCAGAAGCUUGAAGCUCUCUCUCUCUCUCUCUCUCUCUCUCUCUCUCUCUCAUCAGUAACUUUUAGGGCUGGGCAUCUGAGGACCGCCCUCGCCGCCUACUCGAUGUCACACGCCACUGCACAGACGCAGACCAUUGGCUCGCUCUGAUUUGGAGUUGCUCAUCUUCGAUAUCUGCAAUCGGGUAAUUGAGUUCCCUUUUUGUCCUUGUUACUGAAGAUUAGGGAUUAAUUUUCAUUUAGGUUAUGUUUGAUUUGUAGCUUAUUUAUAUCUUCGAUUUGCUUUAUAUGAAUUCUUGUGUAUAACCUAAAUUGUAAAUUUUUACAAAGGCAUUAACAGAUAAAGGGUUUUGGAAUGGUACAAAUCUCCUGGGUUUAUUUAUUUAUUUAUUUUCUGUUCUUUGUAUUUUCUAAGUUUUUUUUUUUGUCUUGCCAUUUUGUUGAAUCUUGUGUGUUAUAUCACCUUCAGAGGAGAGAUUUAUAAAGUACUAUGAGAGUCUAACUGAAGAAGAGACAUGUAUGUGUACAUGUAUACUAUUUAUUUUUAGAAUCAGAGGAAGAUGGGAAAGUACUAUGAGUAUUGGGUUAUCUUUAUCACUUCUAAACACUCCAAACUGAGCUCAAUACAACUUGUCUAUCUAACUUUAGUUAAAGUUUUCUACCUGAAGAAUUAUACGUAUUGGGUUUUUAAGUUUUCUACCUGGUAUAAUAUUUAUUGUUACUGUAAUUAUACAUGCUUUUCUCAUGAGGUCCCAUUUUGGUGAUGGAUAGACAAGCGUGAGGAGAUGGAGGACUCAUGAGCUAGAGUUACAUCCCUACUUUGUACAUGGAGAUUUAUGGAAGUCUUUCAAGGACUGGAGUGCGUAUGGUGCAUGGGUCACAAAAUGGGAGUGACUCUGUUAUGUACUAUGUUCCUUAUUUGUCUGCUAUUCAGCUCUAUGUAGACCCAUCAAAGCUCUCCACAAGAAUAAGGUCAACAAUAUCGUAAACACAAGACUUUCAAUCAAUUCAGUCUAUGUGAUUUUUCUGCUUAAGCACUCUAGAUUAUAGUUUAUGUUUGCAGCUGCUAACUCUGGUGCAAUGUUCAUUCCUUAAUGUUUCUGUUCAUCCUUUAUUGUGUCUAGUUUAUGGGUUCACAUAAAUGUCAUUUUGUGGAGAAAAUCUUGAGAAAAUUUGAAUUUAGUGACUGAAGCAGAUGGAGCAUGCUGUGCAUUUUGGUGUGAUUAAUUUUUUCAUUAUCAUUGUUGGAUUCCUUGCACUUCUAUUGAGGUUGUUAUAUAAGAUCUCUUUGUUGAGUCACUCUCUGAGAUUUAGUUGCCUACUUACCCUGAUUACAUCUGUAUGUUACAAUGUCCUGAAAUCUUGAUUGUAUUUGUAUGUUAAAAUGUUCUGUUAAUGUCUUCAUUUACUCGCCCUUCAAUUGUAGCUUAAAAACUGUUUUACAAAAUCCACCAUUUCUUUGAAUGGAAUGGUCAAGGCGAUUGUGGAUACCACUUGGUUGGUUGGGUUACAAUUUGUUUUAAAUGUUGCUGAAUCUCAAUUUAUGGGGAAAUGGAGGUGAUAAUAGGCAGUGGGAAAGAUGUAUUUUGAAAUUAGGUUGUGCAGAAGAAUUAUGGUAGUGUAAUGGGGGUUGGUCCGUUUAUUAGGUGAGGCAUCUUAUAGGCAGUGGAUGACAAGAUCUUUAAUAUGAUGCAUGGUGCGGUACUUGUAUAUAGUGUUACUUUGUGGUAAAGUGAAUGUCUUACAGUUUUUGGCAUAAUCACCUUGACUUGGCAAAAUGUCGCCAAGAGUUGCAUGCUAAUAGCUAGUUUGUACUAGAAUAGAUAUGUGCAGUAAAAUCUCCGAAAAGAAUUAUAUAUAUUCAUAGCUUUUCAUGGAGAUACAUUAUAGGUUAUGCAAGUAUUUCUUUUGACAGUAGACUUCUUAGCAAUUGGAAUAAUUUGUUAUUAUUUAUUUUAUUAUUUUGGUUAUGUCUAUAUUUUUUAUUUGCUCAUAGCCUUCUGGAAUUUUUUACCAGAUAACGACAUGGGAGCAAAAUCACAAUCAAGUGAGUUUCCAUAGGAGCACCAUUCUUGCUUGGAUGCUCGGUUCUUGGAUCUCUUCAGGUGCUUCAAGACUUUGAAAUGUAACUAAUUAGUUUGCUAGACCAUGCUUAACAAAAUGUUAAAGUUUAAUUACUCUGAUAGUACAAUUUCCCUUCAUUUCUAUUUGGACAAAUGUAACUUGACAACGGAUUUGUUGAUCUUUCUAAUAUGUAUGGAGCUAUUUUUUUUCUUAAUGAAAACUCUCUAUUACGGGCUAUCUUAUGGUUGAAAAGGAAGAAAAUAGUUAUACUUGGAUAGAUUGUAUUGUUUUAAAGUAAUUCUAAAAGUAAUAUUAAAAGUAAUAAUAUUUAAUAUCACAACGUGCAAAGAGUAUUGUUGAAAUGUAAAACAACAACACGCGCAUGAACGUUGUCAAUCAAACAUACAACAACACGCAGAACACGUUGUUGUUCUAUACUUUCACAACAUGCACACGUUGCCAUUAUUGGUGUUUACAACACGCGAUCAAAUCAAGGACAACAUGCAAAGUGCGUCAUUGAAAGUCAUGGAGCUUUUAACGACAUCUGCUUCAACAACGUGCGCCGUGUGUUGUCAAUACGUUUUCACAACGCACAAUGUGCGUUGUUAAAUGACUUUUUUCUUGUAGUGGUUGGUGGGUUGUUUUGGUCCCGUGUCCGUGUCCAUUACAACAAAUUUCUCUCCCAUGGAAGCAAGGGCGUUAACCAGGAAUUUUUCAACGGGUGGGUUAGUUAAAGUUAUUAGCACUACUACAUUUUACACUUUGCGCGACGAAGCGAAUUUCGUCGCGCAAAAUAAAUUGUGGUCGUACAAAUUUCAGCGCCACAAAAACUUCGUCGCGCAAAGAUCGUGAAGAAAGACUUUGUGCGACGAAGUUUUUUCAUUGGUCGCGCAAAGAAAAAAAUAUUUGUCGCGCAAAGUGACUUUGCGCGACGAAAAAAUAUUGGUCGCGCAAAGUUUUGCGCGACGAAAUGCAUUGGUCGCGCAACGGUUUGCGCGACGAAAAACAUUGGUCGCGCAAAGUUUUGCGCGACGAAAAACAUUAAACGCGCAAAGUUUUGCGCGACGAAAUACAUUGGUUGCGCAACGGUUUGCGCGACGAAACACAUUGGUCGCGCAAAGUCUUAAAAAAAUUCCCGCGUCCAAUUUUUGGUACCCGCCCAAAUUUUUAGAGUUUUACGCGACAAAUAGUAACGUCGCGCAAAUAUUUGCGUGACGAAAUAUUUUUUGUUUUAAAUUUUUUUAAUUUGAAAUAAACUAAUUUAAUAGUUUGCGCUACGAAAUAUUUUUUCUUUAGUAUGAAUUUAUUUAUAUGAAUUUUUUCAAAUUUUUACUUUUUAAAUUUAAUUUAAUUGUAUGAUUUCUUUUUAAAAUUACUUUAAUUUAAAUUGAUAUUAAUUUUUUCAAAUUUUUACUUUUUAAAUUUAAUUUAAUUGUAAGAUUUUUCUUAAUUACUUUAAUUUAAAUUGACAUAUUCAAAAUAAAAUUACAUAUGAAAAAUAGUGAUCAAAUUAUCCAAUAAAUAUAUAUAUAUAUAAUAUUCAAAAUGUACAUAUAAAUUAACAAAGUACAAUAAUAAAAUCCUAAUACAAACGUAUUGUGGUGGUAGUGGCGGAGGAUAUGUUUUGAUAGCUUCCUAAUCCUCAACUUUAGCCGUCAAAGUCUCGAUGAUUCCCUACAAAAAAACAAAUAUAGUCAAAUAACAACAAUAACAACAAAAAGAAUGCACAAUCUCCCCUAAAAUUGUUAUACCACAAAUCCAACCCAAACUCCAAUCUCUCCCCUUUACUCAACCCCAAACCCCACACAAACUCAAAACUAACUCCAAAAACACAUAUUAAUGAAAAAAAUUUAAAAUUUGGAGAGAAUAUACCUUUUGGCAAGAUUGAGAGUGAGUGAGAAUGAGAGGGAGAAGUGAGUGUGAGAGAAUUAGAAAAGAUAGUGAUAGAGAGAUGAGAGAGUGAGAGAUAGUGAAAAGAUAGAUGAGAGAGUGAGUGAGAGUGAGAGAUAGUGAAGAUAGAGAUGAGAGAUUAAGUGAGAGGAGUUAGUGUGAGAGAAAGGGUGGGAUUUGGGGAAAGGGAAAGAGAGAGGAGAGGUAAGAGUAGAGAAAGAAAUUGAGAAAAUGGUGGAGGAGUUAUUUCAGUUUUAAAAAUCGUAUCACUUUGCGCGACGAAAAUAUUGUUGGUCGCGCAAAGUUUUGCGCGACGAAACAUAUUGGUCUCGCAAAGUUUUGCGCGACGAAUAGAGGAAUAUUGGUCGCGCAAAGUCUAAAAAAUUAUUUUAAAAAAAAAAAAAUUCCCGCAUCCCAUUUUUGGUACCCGCCAAAAUUUUUAAAUUUUUGCGCGACGAAAAAUACUUAUUGGUCGCGCAAAGUCUAAAACAAUUAUAUAUAAAAAAUUCCCGCGUCCCAUUUUUGGUACCCGCCCAAAUUUUUGCGCGACGAAAAAUAUAUAUUGGUUGCUCAAAGUUUUGCGCGACGAAACAUAUUGGUCUCGCAAACUUUUGCGCGACGAAUAUAGGAGUAUUGGUCGCGCAAAGUCUAAAAAAAAUAAUUUUUUUUUAAAAAAAUUCCCACAUCCCAUUUUUGGUACCCGCCAAAAUUUUUAAAUUUUUGCGCGACGAAAAAUACAUAUUGGUCGCGCAAAGUCUAAAACAAUUAUAUAAAAAAAUUCCCGCGUCCCAUUUUUGAUACCCGCCCAAAAUUUUUGCGCGACGAAAAAUAUAUAUUGGUCGCGCAAAGUUUUGAGCGACAAAAAAUUUUAAAAACCCGCGUCCCAUUUUUGGUACUCGCCCAAAUUUUUUGAGUUUUGCACGAUGAACUGUUGGUCGCGCAAACUUUUGAGAGACGAAAAAUUGGUUCGUAGCACAAUAUUUAUAAAAAUAAUUGUUAUGAAUAAUAAAAAAUAAAAAAAUUUAUUUUAUGAUUUAAAAUAUAAUUAAGGUGAAAGCUACUUAAUAAAUGUAUAUACUAUUCAAUUUCUGAAGUGUUAUACGUACAAAAUAAAUAAAUUUAAAGCUACUUAAUAAAUAUAUGUAUAUAAAUAUAUAUAUAUAUAUAUAUAUACACACACACCAUUCAACGAUCCAACUAUAAGACUUGUUUGUAUAUACUUCAAGAUCGUAUACCCCAAAAAUCGCAAAAAACAAACAUUCAGAGAUCUAGUAACGGGACAAAACUUUUCGAUAGUUAUAAAUGAAAAAUCACGAUUUAACGGUUAUUUUAACUCCGAUUUUGAUGAUUUUUUUACAGCUACACUCCUUGACCCUAUAUGAAUACAAUGACUGAAUUUGAUCUUCAAUUUAAAACAUUUGCACUAGUGGAUACCACAAAAUCUUAUGUUAUAUUUAACGAAAAUAUAAAUAAACUCUUAAUUGUUAGUGAAUAUAUUGUUUUGAUGGCAUAUGCAUUCUACGAAACUAGUUUCAACGAUCCAACCAUCAAACUUGUUUGUAUAUACUUCGAGAUCAUUUUAGCGUACACAUUCUACGAAACUAGUUUCAACGAUCCAACCGUCAAACUUGUUUGUUUAUACUUCGAGAUCAUAUAUGCCAAAAAUCGGAAAAAAUAAACAUUCAUUGAUCAAGUAACGGGACAAAAUUUUUUGACGGUUAUAAAUGAAAAAUCAUGAUUUAAUGGUUAUUUUAACUCCGAUUUUGAUGAUUUUUUAUAGCUACACUCCUUGACCCUAUAUGAAUACAAUGACUGAAUUUGAUCUUCAAUUUAAAAUAUUUACACUAGUGGAUACCACAAAAUCUUAUGUUAUACUUAACGAAAGUAUAAAUAAACUCCUAAUUGUUAGUGAAUAUAUUGUUAGUGAACAAAAAAAAACUAGUUUCAACGAUCCAACCGUCAAACUUGUUUGUUUAUACUUCGAGAUCAUAUACGCCAAAAAUCGGAAAAAAUAAACAUUCAGAGAUCAAGUAAGGGGACAAAACUUUUCGAUGGUUGUAAUGAAAAAUCACGAUUUAAUGGUUAUUUUAACUCCGAUUUUGAUGAUUUUUUUACUGCUACACUCCUUGACCCAAUAUGAAUACAAUGAACUAAUUCGAUCGUCAAUUUAAAAUAUAUAUUUUCUAACAAAAACCCAAUCCGAACAACAAUAAUAUAUUUUUCUAAUAAAAAUCCGAUCCGAUCUAAAAUAAUAAAUUUAAAGCUACUUAAUAAAUAUAUAUACCGUUUAAUUUCUUAAGUGUUAUGCAUACAAAAUAAAAAAUAAAAAUAAAUUGGUUUAGGUGACAAAAUGUUUGGAUUACGUCAUGCAAAGAUUUUAAAAAAUAAUUUUUUUAUUUUAUUUAUUUUUGUAAGGACUUUGUGCGACGAAGUUUCUUUUCGUCGCGCAAAGUCACUUUGAGCGACGAAUUAUUUUUCGUCGCGCAAAAUUGGUCGCGCAAGACUUUGAGCGACGAUGUAUUGUCGUCGCGCAAAAGUUUGUCGCGCGAAGUGACUUUGCGCGACGAAUUAUUUUUCGUCGCGCAAAAUUUGGUCACGCAAGACUUUGGGCGACGAAGUUUCAAGUUUCGUCGCGCAAAGUGACUUUGAGCGACGAAUAAUUUUUCGUCGCGCAAAAUUUGGUCGCGCAAGGGGUUUUUUUUACUAGUGUAGCUUAAAAUUUAAUGAUUAUUUUUUUUGGUACUUACAAUUUCUAGUCUUUCUAGAAAUAAAAAUAAACAAUAAAUCAUAUAAACCAAGCUAGUUCAUAGCUCCAUAGACUAAUUUUCAAGAAAUUUUAACAUAAACCAAAUAGGGUUUAACUCUAUAGUGGAUUGAACAUCUAAGGCAUUUUACCUAGAUUGACCUUAGGUUCCUUCAUGCAUUCAUAUCAUAUAUGAAAAGUUGUUUUAUGUAAAAAUAUUGACUAAGUAUGAAAAAUGGGUUUUCGGAAUAAUCAUUUCCUCAAAAUAAUUUUUGGCAGCUUUUAUUCCUCACACAUCAAAUAAAAAAACUUGAUUUUAUGAGAUUUUAGUAUGAAGUACAUAUUGACUUAAUGAGCCAUCAUUUUUAGCAUAAAUCGUAUUUUGCACUAAAACCGAUUUUUCAUAUUUUGAUUUGGUGGGAAUUUGAUUUUCUAGUAUUUUUAUUUGAAUCCAAAUGAGAGGUAUUUCCUUAUUUACAUUAUAAACUUAAGUAAAUGGAGUAAUAUAAAAAUAAAUAAAGUAAAAUGACAAAGACAUUUACUUAAAUGUUGAAAAUAGAAAUAAGGUAAUCUGUAUAGCGUCACUGACUAGACUAAUAUUGAAAAUAAGUUAAAUAUAUACUUUUUUCUUAAAAUACCACACUGGGCUACAGUUUAGUGUGGUUCCACCCUUGCAUGGAAGCUCUUGCUCAUCUUUACGGGCGAACUCUAGGUCAUUGGUUCCUUAGAAAGUAUCUAUCUCUCAUCGUUAAUUGAUCUUCGAUGCAAAAUAGAUUUAAGAUUGUUGAGAGUGUGAAUUUCACUCAUUGCUAAUCAAUUUUGAGUUGGAUACUCAUAUUCAAAUAGAGUAUCAUAAAGUAUUAUAAUCAAGAACCGUGCUAAAAUGACUAAAUUAAACGGCUUGCAAUUUAUUUUCAAGAGCUGUUCAUCACCAAACUUAUCAACAACAAUGAAGAAAACUACAGACAGUGCUUGUUUUUCUGCACUACUGUGAGAAAUUUGAAACUUCUGUGAAUCAGCGAUGCUUAGUUAGGAAUCAAUGAUUUGAAGUGUUGACUGAAUGCAUGCAAUUGACUUCUGCUAACUAAUUUGUAGAUCGCCUCCUUUGUGCAAUCUCCACCAGUUACAAAUAACCUAACCAUGAGCAGGGAUUUCCAUGAGAGAGCUAAAUAUUUUUUGACAAAGAGAAACAUAUAAAGCAUGGGCAUUACAUUUAGAUUGAAAUUUACACUGUUAAAUUAUUAUUUUUCUCUCAUAAGAAAUAUGACAGGCAAAGGCUGACCAUGAGUUACAUUCUUUAACCAAUGCCAUAGUCAUAGGAGGUACGUGAGGUUACACCAUGACUAUCCUCUCCUUGAAUCUCUAGUUGAUUUAUGCUCUGUACAUCACACCUCAUUUAAAUUCAAUUUGAGAGCUUCAGAGUUCACAGACCGCAAUUUAAAUAGUAAAAAAAUGACUAACACUUUGCUUCACAAUUCCAACGUGAAAAAGGACAUUGACUUGUAAUGGUCUCAGGUAUGAACUUAAAUGGUACUUUGGCAGUAUAUGUGAGAAAACUCCCCUUUUUCAAUAUCGCUUGUAUAAAAAAAAUUAUUAAAAAUUAUUAAUAUUCUUCUAAGUGUGAGGAAAUCAGCAAUCAUCUUUGUAAAUUAACACAAGUACGCAAUAGUCUAAGAAAGAUUGUGGACUAAAAGGACAAGUUAGCAUCUCCAAAGGAGAUGUCAAAUACCAAACAUCAAAUUUAAAUUUGAUGGCUGAUGUGGCAAUUUGACAUCUUACACAGCUUUACACUCCACCCGAUAUGUCAAAUUAAAUUAUUAUUUUAUUAAAUUUUAGUGUUGAUUUAUUUUUAAUUAAAAAGAAAAGAAAAGAAAUAAUAAUAAUAAAAUAUGCAUUUGACAUCUUGCUUUUGGAAUAUCAAAAAUAACAUCUCAACUUCCAGCCUUCAUUCCACAUCAACUUUGACACAUCGAUUGGAGUGAUAUGAGAUGUUAUUUCUAGCCGUUAAAUGUCUAUAUGUCACUUUUGACAUUAAGGGCUUGUUUGAUAGGAAGGACUGAACUAAACUAGACUAGAAAAAUGCAUACAUUUUCUGUGCAUUCAAGGCAUAAUAUGGAUAUUGUUGUCUAACUUGGAGUAUGAAGGAGGACUAUUUAUAAGAAGUUGAUGACUAAAACUUAUCCCUCAUAAUCCCACCAUUUUCAAGGGGAGGCUAAGUUUAAGUCAUCAACCUCUAAAUUUACUAAAAAUGCUAUGUCAGGUCUAGUACAUUGUGCUAAGUAUAUUAAAGCACCUAUUGCACUAAGAUAUGGUACUUCUGGACCAAGGACCAUUUUAUCAUCUAUGUAUCCUCUUGUGAUCUAAGCAAUACAAGCUGCAUUGUCCUCAUUUAGGAUUAUUGGAGUGUCCGUUGCUGAGGAUAGGGCACAUGUGCUUCGGAUGUGCUGGAUCACUUAUCUCAACCAAACGCAUCUAUGACUGGCUUUAUGGAGGGCAAGUAUUUCUAAGUGAUUGGAAGAUGUGGCCACCAAUGUUUGUUUUGUUGCGCGCUAUGAGAUUGCAGUUCCUCCACAUGUGCAUACAUACCCAGUUUGUGAGUGCCUUUGAUGUGGGUCAAAGAGAUAUCUUACAUCAGCAUAUCCAACCAUACUCGGGGCAUUGGUAGAUUCACUAGAAUAGAAUAAGCCCAUGUCUGUUGUCCCACGAAGGUAUCGUAGGAUAUGUUUGACGCCGGUCCAAUGUCGGCUUGUUAGAGCAAGGUUGUAUCUUCCUAACAAAUUUACUAAAAAUGCUAUGUCAGGUCUGGUACAUUGUGCUAAGUAUAUUAAAGCACCUAUUGCACUAAGAUAUGGUACUUCUGGAUCAAGGACCAUUUUAUCAUCUUUUUUGGACGAUAUGGAUCUUUCUUAGUGUCGAGCGAUCGAACGACUAUUGGAGUGCUAAGUGGAUAGGCUUUAUCCUUGCUAAACUGCUUUAAUACUUUUUCAGUAUAAGUUGAUUGAUACACUAAAAUCCCAUUAGCACUAUGCUCAAUCUGUAAGCCAAAGCAAUAUUUUGUCUUUCCAAGGUCUUUCAUCUCAAACUCGCGUUUGAGAUAAUCAACAGUCCUUUGGAGCUCGUCAUGAGUUCCAAUUAGAUUCAUGUCGUCGACAUAUACUGCCACUAUCGCAAAUCUGGACUUUGAUUUCCUAAUGAACACACAUGGGCAAAUAGGAUCAUUUGUGAGUCCUUCCUUCAGUAAAUACUUACUGAAACGAUUGUACCACAUUCGCCCAGAUUGUUUUAGUCCAUAUAAUGAUCUUCUCAAUUUAAUUGAGAACAUGCUCCGUGGGUUAUUCCUAGCUGCUUCAGGUAGCUUAAGUCCUUCUGGGACUUUCACGUAUAUAUCUGUAUCCAAUUCUCUAUACAAAUAUGUGGUAAUGACAUCCAUAAGUCUCAUUUAAAGUUUUUGUGAAACUGCCAAACUUAUUAAGUAACGGAACAUAAUUGCAUCCAUUACUGGAAAAUAUGUUUCUGUAUAAUCAAUUCCAGGCCUUUGUGAAAAACCUUCCGCAACAAGUCGCACUUUAUACCUUGUGAUCUCAUUUUUCUCAUUGCGCUUUCUUGUAAAUACCCACUUGUAACCUACAAGGUUCACAUUGGGUGGAGUUGGAACAAUAGGUCCAAAGACACUCUUUUUUUUUUUUUUUUCCAAAGAAUUCAAUUAUGCCUGGAUUGCAUCUUUCCACUUAGGCCAAUCUUGUCUCUGUGUGCAUUCAUCAAUGGAGCAAGGCUCAAUAUCAUCAUUUUUUACGAUCUCAGUAGCCACUGAGAAUGCAAAUAUAUCAUCAAUGAUCAUCUCGUUUCUAUUCCACAAUUCAUCAGUGGACGUAUAAUUUAUGGAGAUUUCUUGACUUUCAGGUACAGUUGCCACUCCAGGGGCACUUGUCUCACCAAGGACAUUUUCCUUUUCAAGAAGUACCUGUCCCUCUUGGGGGCCAUUUGAAUUAUGAAUUGUGGGCUCUCCAUUUAUUUCAUUUGGAUUCAUUUUGGCCAUCAACUUCCUCUUUCGGGGAACUGAAUCCUUUGUGCCUAGUGGUUUGCCACGCUUCAGGCGUGCAACAGAUGAACCAUUUGCUAGCAGAUUACUUUGUCCAUUAUGGACAUCAAUCUUUGCAUGUGCAUUUGCAACUGGGAUAUGUGAUUUCAUCACCUUUGUUGCAUCAUUAAAUGCAUCUGGCAUCUGAUUUACAAUACUUUGGAGGUGAACGAUCCUUCUCACUUCGGUUUUGCAUUGGGUGGUACGAGGAUCGAGACGAGACAAAGUGGGUACAUCCUAUAAUAAUUCACGUCAUUCUUCAGGAAUGAGUUUGCCUUGUUGUUCUUUAGGAACAGAUUUUUCUCCCCCCUAAUGAUGGGAAGAUUGUCUUAUCAAAAUGACAAUUCAUAAAUCGGGCAGUAAAGAUAUCACCUGUCAGAGGCUCCAGAUAUCUGAUGAUAGAUGGUGAAUCAAAACCAACAUGAAUCCUUUUCCAAUACCAUAAUUUCUCCUUUUGACUACCAUACUCAACACCAUCAUUUCUCUUUAUGUGGGCUCCACCUAUAUUAUUUACAACAUUUUUCUUCAUUUUUUAGGUCAUAUUAUUUUAUUGUAAAGUAUUUAAUUAUUUUUAAUAUAUGAAAUGACCAAUUUGCCCUCAUAUUUAACGGCAAAUUGGAUGAAAUGUUGAUGAUUUAGACGGUAAGGGGAACAUUGAGAAUAAAAGUUAGUUCGAGUCCUUAAUUUUCUAAAAAAAAGGUUAGUGGUAAAUUCAUAAUUAAGUACAAGUUCAGGGGGCAAUUUGAUGAAAUACCCUUUUUUUAAUUACAACAAAAGGGAAGGCAUAAAUGAAGUGGGUGGGCCCAGUGGCAAAUAUUUCGGUCAUAGCUCAACAUUCAUUUAUUGUAAUUUUUUAUUUUUUAUUCAUAAUUUAGCCAUAAAAGGCCACUGACCACAAGGACAAAUAUAAACACAUGAGAGAUACAUCAAGAACAUCAAGACAAUAAGGUAUCCCUCCAACCACAUCCACAAACAAGCAAAGCACCUCCACUGCAUAAAGCCAACAAACUUGGAUAAACCAAGCACAUCAACAACAUAAAGUAAAAUUAAACCAAACUCUUACUAGAGAGACAACUAACUCAUAAUGAGUUUUUGCAACUUAUUCCGACUCAGAAAGAGCCAAACAUAAAGUUAUAACAUCACAAACAACUAGCACAACGACAAUGGAGGAGCCACUGUACUUUAUCCAUCCUUUGGGAUUCAAAUUUGAUACACAAAUUUGUGAGCCGUAGCAUUAUUGUUCCCACGUCUUCGAAUUUUUUCCUUACUAAUUGAGGAUCCCUUGAGAAAACUUUUGAACCAGUGCGUUGAGACUUUUGAGUGUCUUUUCAGUCCAUUGUCGUAAUCAACAUAGUUGAUACCAAACCGAACAGUGUAUCCUUCGCUCCAUUCAAAGUUGUCUAGCAAUGACCAUGCAAAAUAUCCUUGUACAUUAGCACCCUCUCUGCAAACACCAAAAAAAAGGAACAUAAUCUAGUCAAUGUAGUGAUUAAAUAACCAAAAUGUAAGAAGGCUAGACGAUACAUAUAUAGCCUAAAUUUAUUUGUUGACAAAAACUUACAAAAUUGCUUCUUGGAGGUAACAUAGGUGGCGAUAGUAGUAGAGAAUUCUAUUGCUAUCAUCAAGGGCUCGCUCAAGGGAUACUUUGGGAUUAUUGAACUCGUCCAUGCCUGCAAUAUAAUGCAGUAUCAUAUACAUUUAGUACUGAAUUUUACACCAUUAUACAUAUGUAUGAAACAUUAUUGAUAAUGCAAUAAAUUAAUGUUUAAAGGUAUUAAUUACCAUUCUCAGUAAUGUACAUAAUUGGAUUAUUGUACUUCUUUUUUGUGUAGAGUACAAGAUCGUAAAGUCCUUUUGGGUAAACAUAUAACCAGUUUGAAGCAGCCUGCAAUCCCAUUUAAAGAUUAGCGAUACUUUAAAGAGUUAUAUAUGUAUGUGGAAAACAAAAUAUAUGUAUAGGUAUUAAUUGUCAAAAUGCCAAUAACUGAAGCAAAUAAUUUGAUGUGUACCUGUGGACCAAUGGGGACCCCAUUAAGCUCAGCUGCCACAACAUAUAUAUAUAUAUGAAUAUGAAUAUUAGUAUCACCAAUAUAUGAAUAGUAGUAUUUGAAGAACUUAAUUAAUUACUUGAAGUUUUCAAUUUGUACUCACUUGUAAUAUUAACAUAAGCAUCUGUGAGGUAGCUUGGAGUCGUAGUAAUAGAAUAAUUCUCAGGGUAAGCGCUUGCAUAUCUAGCAGAAUAGUAGUUGACUCCAAUAUAAUCAUAUGAGCCAAUAAGUGACUUGGAUUGUUCUUCGGUGAAAUUUGGUAAUCUUUCUUUAACAAGAUAUCGCAUGCUCUGCGGAUAGUCACCUCUUGUCAAUGGGUCCAUAAACCUAUGAAAAUAAGCCAAUUCCAAGCGUGAACUUAAAGUAUUAUAUAAAGUACUACUAGCUAGCUUGCCAAUGUUAUAAUGCAUAAAUAAAGCAUUUAAAUGCGAUGAUUUAUAAAAUAAUAUAAUAUACUUACCAUCCAUACAUAAAAUCCAAAGCUCGAACUGAAGCAUUUAUAUCUUUUUGUGACUCCGAAGCGGGCUCGUACCAAUGUGAUACAACUGUUAUUCCUAUCACUCCUUCUUGAGAUGCCUGCUCAAGAAAGAUCAUUUUUUUAAAAAUAGAUUUAGAGGAAAAAAAAAAAUAUUACAACCAUUGUUUAUCUGAAUAUAUAAAGUAUUCCCACUUAUGUUGUUACUCAAUACUAGUUAUUCGUAGGACACCAAUAUUCAAACCAAAAGAAAAAAAUUAGCCCUGUUUCAUAUCCUACUAAAAAAAACUAAAUUCAAACACUAUGAUUCUUUUUAAAAAUAUGAGUUUUCAAAUAGUGAUUUUAAGAUCUAAAAUCUUGUUUGGUAUUGAACUCCAAACUAUUUUUUAGAUCUAAAAAAAUUGAAAUUAAAAUCAGAAAAUUAAGAACCCUAGAUUGCCAAAUUGAAAUUAACAAAGAAAAGUUGAGAGAGGGAAAGAGACGGGAGAGUGAGGAGAGAUAGGGACGAGAGAGGAAGAAGAGAAAAAGAGACGGGAGAGGGCGGAGACAGAGAGAGAGAGAGAGAAAAAUAUAAAACCUUAUUUUUUUUGUUUUUAAUAAUGGGGGUGUUUUUGAGUUUUUCUCAGGUUUGAGUUUUUAAAAAUGGUCUUACCAAACGGAUUUUUGUGGCUUUGAACUUAAAAUAUGUUCUUGAGUUUAUAAAAUUGGAUCCAAGUAGGAUACCAAACAAGUCCUAAAGUACCUGAUAUUUUUCUCUGUACAAUUUUACAGCAGCUGCAUGAGCAAGGAGUAGGUUGUGUGUCACCAAAUAUGGUUCAGUACUCGAAUUUCCACCAAGGCAGGUUGGGUCAUACCAAGAAGAGCAUCGUCCUGGUGCGUGGAUCCCGAUUGUAUAACCAUGGUUACUAAUGGUAUAUGGCUCAUUAAGUGUGGUCCAAUACUUUACUCGAUCACCAAAUUCCUUAUAACAAAGUUCUGCGUAUGCUUUAAAA